GCCCAUUAAAGCGGUACGCGAGCUGGGUUCAGAACGUCGUGAGACAGUUCGGUCCCUAUCCGUCGUGGGCGUAGGAAAUUUGAGAGGAGCUGUCCUUAGUACGAGAGGACCGGGAUGGACAUACCUCUGGUGUACCAGUUGUCGUGCCAACGGCAUAGCUGGGUAGCUAUGUGUGGACGGGAUAAGUGCUGAAAGCAUCUAAGCAUGAAGCCCCCCUCAAGAUGAGAUUUCCCAACUUCGGUUAUAAGAUCCCUCAAAGAUGAUGAGGUUAAUAGGUUCGAGGUGGAAGCAUGGUGACAUGUGGAGCUGACGAAUACUAAUCGAUCGAAGACUUAAUCAA
This 340-nucleotide ribosomal RNA is filed under the name Staphylococcus aureus. Its description in RNAcentral is "partial 23S ribosomal RNA". It matches the Rfam family "Bacterial large subunit ribosomal RNA", at positions 2583 to 2925 of the family's 2925-position model. Lineage: Bacteria; Bacillati; Bacillota; Bacilli; Caryophanales; Staphylococcaceae. The record is from RNAcentral.